AGUGGUUUGAGCCACUAUAAAUAGCACGUUAAGCUCAAAGCGUCCAAGGAGUUAUCCGUUGGGGUCGUA
RNAcentral lists this ribozyme (69 nucleotides) under unclassified sequences. RNAcentral's name for it is "pistol ribozyme". It matches the Rfam family "Pistol ribozyme". The record is from RNAcentral.